This 305-nucleotide ribosomal RNA is filed under the name uncultured bacterium. RNAcentral's name for it is "bacterial SSU rRNA". It matches the Rfam family "Bacterial small subunit ribosomal RNA", at positions 333 to 636 of the family's 1533-position model. The record is from RNAcentral.
UGUUCCCUACGGGGGCAGCAGUGGGGAAUAUUGCACAAUGGGCGCGAGCCUGAACCAGCCAAGUCGCGUGAGGGAAUAAGGCCCUACGGGUCGUAAACCUCUUUUGCCGGGGAGCAGGGGCGGGGACGUGUCCCGGCCCGGAGAGUACCCGGAGAAAAAGCAUCGGCUAACUCCGUGCCAGCAGCCGCGGUAAUACGGAGGAUGCGAGCGUUAUCCGGAUUUAUUGGGUUUAAAGGGUGCGUAGGCGGGCUUUUAAGUCAGCGGGAAAAAUUCGGGGCUCAACCCCGUCCGGCCGGUGAAACUGG